UUUUAUUGGAGAGUUUGAUCCUGGCUCAGGACGAACGCUGGCGGCGUGCCUAAUACAUGCAAGUCGAGCGCGGGAAGCAGGUAGAUCCCUCCGGGGUGAAACCUGUGGAACGAGCGGCGGACGGGUGAGUAACACGUGGGCAACCUGCCUGAAAGUCCGGGAUAACCCCGGGAAACCGGAGCUAAU
This 186-nucleotide ribosomal RNA is filed under the name Salibacterium halotolerans. Its description in RNAcentral is "16S rRNA. Bacterial SSU". It matches the Rfam family "Bacterial small subunit ribosomal RNA", at positions 1 to 167 of the family's 1533-position model. Lineage: Bacteria; Bacillati; Bacillota; Bacilli; Caryophanales; Bacillaceae. The record is from RNAcentral.